Molecule: non-coding RNA, 552 nt
Filed under: Drosophila virilis
Lineage: Eukaryota; Metazoa; Arthropoda; Insecta; Diptera; Drosophilidae
Description: Eukaryotic large subunit ribosomal RNA
Rfam family: Eukaryotic large subunit ribosomal RNA
Source: Rfam by way of RNAcentral
AUAAUUAGCGGGGAAAGAAGACCCUUUUGAGCUUGACUCUAAUCUGGCAGUGUAAGGAGACAUAAGAGGUGUAGAAUAAGUGGGAGAUAUUAGACUUCAGUUUGGUAUCGACAAUGAAAUACCACUACUCUUAUUGUUUCCUUACUUACUUGAUUAAAUGGAACGUGUAUCAUUUCCUAGCCAUUAUACGGAUAUAAUUAUUAUGUCUUAUGGUAUUGGGUUUUGAUGCAAGCUUCUUGAUCAAAGUAUCACGAGUUUGUUAUAUAAUCGCAAACAAAUUCUUUAAUGAGAGAAUGCAUUUAUGUAUUAUUGAUUUAAAAAUUUGGUAUAACUCCAAUUACUCAGGUAUGAUCCAAUUCAAGGACAUUGCCAGGUAGGGAGUUUGACUGGGGCGGUACAUCUCUCAAAUAAUAACGGAGGUGUCCCAAGGCCAGCUCAGUGCGGACAGAAACCACACAUAGAGCAAAAGGGCAAAUGCUGACUUGAUCUCGGUGUUCAGUACACACAGGGACAGCAAAAGCUCGGCCUAUCGAUCCUUUUGGUUUAAAGAGU